The sequence is a transfer RNA, 102 nucleotides long. It matches the Rfam family "tRNA". Rfam says of the family: Transfer RNA (tRNA) molecules are approximately 80 nucleotides in length. Their secondary structure includes four short double-helical elements and three loops (D, anti-codon, and T loops). The record is from Rfam.
GGCGCGAUGGCGGAGUGGUUAACGCGAGAGACUAGAACCGGCUAUUGCCGAACUAUCUAUCUCUUCCCUUCGGGGGCGUAGGUUCGAAUCCUGCUCGCGUCG